AAUAUUUGAGUUCAAAACAAUAAAUAUAUGCUUAUGGGAUAGCAACAAAGCUAACACUUUGUUCAAUUUUGCUUAUAAUAAUUUAAUUGAUAAUAUUGUGCAUCAUGAUAUUGGAAAAAAUUCAUCACUUACUCCGUCUUUGUCUUAUAUUAUUUUCGGUGUUUUUUUUUCUUUGUAGUUUUGUUUUUGAUCUUUUCGUUUGAUGGUUGUGCCCGUUAUAUCUUGUAGUUUUUACUAUAUUUUU
This 244-nucleotide long non-coding RNA is filed under the name Lathyrus oleraceus (garden pea). RNAcentral describes it as "Pisum sativum (pea) long non-coding RNA (PSAT_LNC016663)". Lineage: Eukaryota; Viridiplantae; Streptophyta; Magnoliopsida; Fabales; Fabaceae. The record is from RNAcentral.